AAUCAGAAGUCAGGCUGAUGUCCUUACAACAGAACUGGAAACUACAUCUUCAAAAUGUCUACACCUGGAUGCAAAAAAUCAAGUUCUUCAACAAGAGUUGUUAUCAAUGAAAGCUUUCGAAGAAGAAUGUGAAAAACUGGAGAGCAAUAACAAGAAGUUACAGCAAGAAGUAGUAAAAUUGAAACAAUUUAUGGAAAUGAAUAUGGUAGAACGCAGUCACGUGGAACAGUAUAAACGGGAGAUUGAAGAAAGAGCACGACUGGACAUAGUAGAAAAAUUACACGAAGUCAACCUGUUUUAACAGGCACAAGCAGCAGCUCGAGAAAACUUGGACCAGUUAAGAGAAAAUGCUCAUGCUUCAACGAGAAGUCUAAUGGAACUUAGAAUUAAAGAUCUGGAAUCUCAGGUCUCUACAAUGAAGACUUCUCAAGAAGAUUCUACUAAAACAGAGUUGGAAACCUACAGGCAACUCUACCUAGAAGAAGUAAAAGUUAGAAAGUCCUUGAGAAAUAAGCUGAACAGGACUAAUGAGAGACUCAGAGAGCAAUACAAAACUUCUUGUGGAGAGACAGCAGCACCAAACUUUACUCAGGACUCUUACUAUGAGCCCAGGCCUGGAACCACCUUAUUGUGGACAUUUUGAAAAUAAUUUAGUGCUCAAUGGAAACCUUACUCCAAGAGGAAGCUUAGUGAUUCCUACCUUAAACCCACGGCCGUCAUAUGACUACAGGGAGACUUCCUUGUGGAAGGUUAGUUAUAUUAUCUGUUUUAGUUUGGGUUUCAGAUAUCUGAUAUAAUUGUUGCUUUUAAUUUGGUGAAAUUCUGAGUUGUUUAAGUAACCAAUACAUACGAAGUAAAAGUCAUAAUUAUAUGUGCUAAGAAAGA
Leopardus geoffroyi (Geoffroy's cat) is the source of this 885-nucleotide long non-coding RNA. RefSeq lists it as uncharacterized. NCBI's taxonomy places the organism in Eukaryota, Metazoa, Chordata, Mammalia, Carnivora, Felidae. The record is from RefSeq and is a predicted model, not a curated record. The transcript has 4 exons.